AAACGUAGGGGGCGAGCGUUGCCCGGAUUUACUGGGCGUAAAGCGCGCGUAGGCGGUUGCGUAAGUGGGGAGUUAAAGCCCUCGGCUCAACCGAGGAAAUGCUCCUCAAACUGCGCGGCUUGAGUGUAGGAGAGGGGAGUGGAAUUCCCGGUGUAGCGGUGAAAUGCGUUGAUAUCGGGAGGAACACCAGUGGCGAAGGCGGCUCCCUGGCCUACUACUGACGCUGAGGCGCGAAAGCGUGGGGAGCGAACGGGAUUAGAUACCCCGGUAGUCCACGCCGUAAACGAUGAGCGCUAGGUGUUGGUGGUCUCGACCCCACCAGUGCCGUAGCUAACGCAUUAAGCGCUCCGCCUGGGGAGUACGGCCGCAAGGUUGAA
Molecule: ribosomal RNA, 377 nt
Filed under: uncultured bacterium
Lineage: Bacteria
Description: bacterial SSU rRNA
Rfam family: Bacterial small subunit ribosomal RNA
Source: RNAcentral